This 71-nucleotide transfer RNA is filed under the name Plestiodon egregius lividus. RNAcentral's name for it is "tRNA-Ser specifying UCN codons". It matches the Rfam family "tRNA". From Rfam's summary of the family: Transfer RNA (tRNA) molecules are approximately 80 nucleotides in length. Their secondary structure includes four short double-helical elements and three loops (D, anti-codon, and T loops). The record is from RNAcentral. Lineage: Eukaryota; Metazoa; Chordata; Lepidosauria; Squamata; Scincidae.
GAGAAAGAAGCACGAUGGCCGUGCGGCUGGCUUGAAACCAGCAGUAGGGGGUUCGAUUCUUCCCUUUCUUG